AAAAUUUAAAACAAGGGCUGAAAUUUAACAUGAAGCAACUUCAAACAAAUAUUGACACAUUCCAAAAGGUCUCAUACCAAAAUCAAUCACCAAAAGCAUUUCAUGAUCAAGUGAAGUUCAAGGCAAUUUUAAAGCUCAUAUGUGAUCAACAUGAAUGAAAAAUUCAAAUCAAAACAGAAAUGAUUCAAAUAAAUCUGGAAAAGUUCAUGCACAUUCAAGACAUCUAUCAUGAUCAACAUACAAAAAAU
RNAcentral lists this long non-coding RNA (248 nucleotides) under Lathyrus oleraceus (garden pea). RNAcentral's name for it is "Pisum sativum (pea) long non-coding RNA (PSAT_LNC025956)". Lineage: Eukaryota; Viridiplantae; Streptophyta; Magnoliopsida; Fabales; Fabaceae. The record is from RNAcentral.